CGGGGGGGCAAGCGUUGUUCGGAAUUACUGGGCGUAAAGGGCUCGUAGGCGGCCAACUAAGUCGGACGUGAAAUCCCCAGGCUCAACCUGGGAACUGCGUCCGAUACUGGAUGGCUUGAAUUCGGGAGAGGGAUGCAGAAUUCCAGGUGUAGCGGUGAAAUGCGUAGAUAUCUGGAGGAAUACCGGUGGCGAAGGCGGCAUCCUGGACCGACAUUGACGCUGAUGAGCGAAAGCCAGGGGAGCAAACGGGAUUAGAUACCCCGGUAGUCCUGGCCCUAAACGAUGAAUGCUUGGUGUGACGGGUAUCGAUCCCUGUCGUGCCGAAGCCAACGCAUUAAGCAUUCCGCCUGGGGAGUACGGUCGCAAGGCUG
This 371-nucleotide ribosomal RNA is filed under the name uncultured organism. RNAcentral describes it as "bacterial SSU rRNA". It matches the Rfam family "Bacterial small subunit ribosomal RNA", at positions 527 to 896 of the family's 1533-position model. The record is from RNAcentral.